RNAcentral lists this ribosomal RNA (200 nucleotides) under uncultured prokaryote. Its description in RNAcentral is "partial 16S ribosomal RNA". It matches the Rfam family "Bacterial small subunit ribosomal RNA", at positions 524 to 723 of the family's 1533-position model. The record is from RNAcentral.
UACAGAGGGUGCGAACGUUGCUCGGAAUUACUGGGCGUAAAGGGUGCGUAGGCGGCGCGGUAAGUCGGGUGUGAAAUCUCGGGGCUUAACUCCGAAACUGCAUUCGAUACUGCCGUGCUUGAGGACUGCAGAGGAGACUGGAAUUUACGGUGUAGCGGUGAAAUGCGUAGAUAUUGGGAGGAACACCAGUGGCGAAGGCG